AAGCAGCACACAGAACAAGGAAAGCAGCAGAAGAAGAGUAAGAAGGAGACGGACAGCAGCGGCGAGGACAGCGGCGAGGACGCUGCACAGGUGUCGACUCAGGAGCUGCUCAAAAGACUGAAAAAUGUCCGGUCUCUUGAGUCCUGGUGAAGACAGUGAGCCGUGUCCUCUGUGAGGACGACCGUCAGCAGAUACCAUGUUGUUCUCAUUUGAAAUAAUAAACGUGUUUAUCAUUUAA
Molecule: long non-coding RNA, 238 nt
Organism: Sander lucioperca (pikeperch)
Lineage: Eukaryota; Metazoa; Chordata; Actinopteri; Perciformes; Percidae
Exons: 2
Source: RefSeq, a predicted model, not a curated record